UUUGACCCAACCCACUUCCAGGCAAGCCUUUAAAUUUGGAUCAGGUGGGCAGCUGUAGCUUGGAUGGUUCCUUAGCAGAGAGGCUGUUGGUUCCUGUGCUCUCUUCAUUCUUUGCCAAAUCUGUGUGUUCUGGGAUGCUUUUGCCUUCAUUACCCAUGGGUGCAAAUAUCUGUAUAAGGUUAGAGGUGCACAGAAAACAGCUGAUCUCUCCAUUGAGCAGAAGAUUACAUGUGAAUUUCAGGUCUGGUGGCCAAAAAUGAGAGAAAUCUCUUCUGCUCAAGUGACAAGCUUGGAUGCAUUCCUCAGUGCAACAUGCAGAGGUAUUUAUUCAUGACAGAAAGAAAAUCUGAUAGAACAUAAUCCCAGGUAUUUCACCUUGUGUGGUGCAAUGGAACAGAUGAAAACUGCCAUUUUCCUCCUCAAAAUGCUGAACUGCUCUUACAGAUGCCUUGUGUGCCCACAGCUGUUCAGUGCUGCUGAAAGAAGCAGGAGGGAAAAGAAGAAUGGAAACACAGGUUCAUCAGCAGGUAUUGUCAUAGCUGUUUAGUGAGUUUGCUAAACUGCAGCUGAGACUUUUUCUUUUGAAAGGAGAGUCUGGCUCGGUAGGGGAGGAGCUGCUUGUUGGUCUCUCUCCAUCCUUGGAGGAUUGCUCCUCCCCAGAGGAUGGCUGAGCCUGCACAGGAGCUGCUGCACUGCUUGGAGAUGGAGGAGCUGUGAACAUCUGGAGGUUUGUUCCAGCCAGCACUUCUGCAUGAUAAAGGAUUAUGGACAAGUUUCAGCCUUGGGGAACACCACUCUGGGCUUGCAGGUUGGUUUCAGACCUUUCUGUUUAGUGCCUUGCCCAGCAAAUCCAAAAUUACUGUUUCUGAGGAUUUUAUUGUUGUCUUUUUUGGCUUUCCCAAUUUUCUUUUUUUUUUUUUUUUUUUUUUUACCUUUAAGUGCCAGUAUCAGGAAUUGAAAGUCUUUGGUAUCUGUCAAAGUGCUUGCUUUUUAAAAGAGUUAAGUGAUUUGCUCUUCCUUUUAAAAUCAUGUUAGAUUGUGAUUAUCAUUCACAUGUCCAGCUUGCUUUUUGUCUUGAAUUUUGUAGGUUCUUCAGGAACUGUGAUCUCUUUCCAGUUAUGUAAAACAGCCUGAGUUGAAACAUAAAGUAAAACUGAACUGUGUGUGCACAGAGAUCAAUGUAUUGAAUAAAAAAAAAAAAAAUCAGCGUUUUGCUGUGUGCAUAGCUCAGAUUUCUUGGUUCAAGCAAUUAAAUUUAUUUUCUGGGAAAGUCCAGGUCUUUUAAAACAACAAAAACAUCCCAGCGGGGAAAACAAAAUUCUGUCCCAUCCCCCAUUUGGGAAAACAAGCAGAGCAAGGCACUGGAAUGUGUGGAAGUGCCCAAGUUAAUGGCACACCAACCUUAGCUCUGCCUCCGUGCCCUCCCAGUAGGAGGAAAUCCAGUGAUUGCUCUUUUUGCCAAAAGAACCCUGAAUCUUCCAGAAAACAGCUCAUGAUUUAGGGGCAGCCUGGUAGCAGAAGGUGCUUAUUGACUCAGACUUGGCCAAAGGAAGAGAAUUUGUAGUUAGUAAUGGGUAAGUAAAAAAAAUCAACUGUGUUGUAAAAACUGAUGUGCAUCCCGUGUGCUCUUAAGCCAUUAGAAGGUGUUUUACUUCAUCAGAAAAUCUUCUGUUUGGAGCUGCUCUGGGAAAGGCCUUCUUUUAGCACUUGAUAAUGACCCAUCCCUUGCCUGUGCUGUUAUUCCAAGUGUGUUUGCUGCUGAAUAGGUACCAUGAGGACAUUAUGGCCUCAUGAGCUUCUGGCUAAAAUAAUUUGUUUAUGAGCAGGGAUAUGACUUCAGUGAGGCUGAGGUGUCACCAUAAUUUAGGAGUGAAGACGACACCCUCGAAUUUCUUCUAAGGAAGAGAAUUAAAUUAAGAGCUCAGCCUUUCCAGACAUCAUCUGCCUUGGUUUGGGGAUGGCCAGAAAUGGAGCUCUGGGGUAUUUAUGUGAUCAGCUGGCUCAAAUCAAUCUCCUUCGAGUCAAACAGCAAUAAUUCUGUAUUCACUGCAGAGUGAACCUGUCUCCAGUUCCAGCAGUGGGUUCCUGGCAGGAUUUUGGGAGCACCAGCAUUGUCCCUGUAGGACAGGAGUGUGCCUUGCAGCAGACAACAGAGUCUUGUUAGGAGAGAAAAAUGAAUCCAGACACUGCCAACAACAACUUUGUUGUGCUUCUGCCAUUGUGAAUUGCAACUCCUGGUUAUUUUCUUCCCAUCUGAAGCUAUUCUGGGCUGGGCUGUGCCUGCACUUCAGAUCUCUGCUGUGCAUCUUUAGCACCUGAAAUUAAAGGGUUUCAGCCAGUUGGUUUAUUGUGACAUGCUAGCAGCCUUUUCUCUGCACUGCACCUUCAGAAGAAUGAAUUUUAAUGAGACUAAGCUAGCAGAAGACCCAUAAAGAAGAUGCAAUUAUGUUUUAAGCAUUCAUAAAAGAAGUUACAUUAAAUUUACACAUUUUGAUUUUUGUCUGUGACAGUCAAAAGAAUUAAGAGUGAGAGCAUAUUGCAGGAGCACAAAGUGGUGAGGACUGGAAGGCACCUCUGGAGAUUCUCUAGUCCACCCUCUGUGCACUCCUUACAAAAAAAGAAGAAAAAAGGGUUCUUGUUCUACAGGAAAUAUUCUCACUCUGGCUGUAGGUUUUGAUAACCAUGAUGUAGUUUUGCUAUGUAGCAGAAAGUAACCUUUCAUCUUCAGAUAAAGGACACAAUUAAUUGACCUCUUCAUCCCUCUAGCAGAUCCCAGACAUGCCCAGAACCCUUGAUGUGCAGGGGGAAAAGCAAUUUUAAUUGUACUUAUAUAAGUCUGUGAUGCCUGAUGGAUGUUUAUUCCUGUCCUAGCUGACACCAUGCCCUACCAGAAUGUUUUAAAAGAGAAGAUGAGCAGACAAGCACAGAACUCUGUGAUCUCCUUGAUGAGUUGGAGUUUACAAGAGCUGUUCACUUGGGUCCCUCCAGUUCAGGGCUGUUUAGGGGCAGGUGUCUGUCACACAGGAUUGAACCAAGCUGUCCUUUAUUUCAGCACAGAGAAACAAAAACUCACCUUGGAGCACACAGAGCAGAGGUUGGCCUCUCUGUGGAAGGUGUGGGUAUAUCAGUGACUGGCUGGUGACAUUGAGACAUUCAGAAAGGCAAAGUGAAGCACCUUGAACUGCUGGGUACUUACCUGCUGUUGAAUAUCCUGCACUGUUCCAUGAAGUAUUUAUUCAAGUCAGUGACUUCUGCUGAAAACUGGAAAUGAAAUAACAACUCCUCUUUCUUCUAAUACUCUGCAGAAAAACACAGAAACAAAAAGAAACCCAACACUCUCUGGAGGUGAGAAGUUUCUGGUGGCACCAGAAAUCAGUUAAUACAAUUUGAAUUUGUAUAAAACCACGAGGAUACACAGCUCCUGUUCCAGUGCUUGGAGUGAAGAUGAUAAUGAUGGUUGAGAGAAGGCCAUGGAGAGGUGCUGGUGGACAAGAAAAUCACUACUAUUGCAUGAGGAAUCUACUGCAUGAAAAAAAUAUAUAUUGUCCUCAUCUGGGAAAGCAAAAUCUGCAUCUCAAGAGUAAAACAGUUUCUCACCAAUGCAGAAGAGUUCUUGGGUUUGAUUUUUCCAUUCUCUACUUUGACUUUCAAGUUGUGCCUCAUGCAUGCCUAAGCUGGAGAUGUGUGGGCAUCCUGAGGACUGUAACAGAUUUUCAAGACUUGCCUGAAGCAUACACAGAGCUGAACUGACACAGAGUUUACUCAACACUGAGCUGGAACCAAAGUCACAGAGGUUGCAUUCUAAGAGCUGUGCAGAGAAUUUGGGCAGAGAACUGUGCUUGCACACCCACCUGGAUCAUUCCAGUAACAGGGUGACUGGGCCCCAGGCUGAGGCUGCCUGAGUGCUGGUUGCAGGAGUUAAAGCUGCCAGGGCAGUGCUAUAAAAGGACAAUGU
Molecule: long non-coding RNA, 3955 nt
Organism: Oenanthe melanoleuca
Lineage: Eukaryota; Metazoa; Chordata; Aves; Passeriformes; Muscicapidae
Exons: 18
Source: RefSeq, a predicted model, not a curated record